RNAcentral lists this ribosomal RNA (252 nucleotides) under uncultured bacterium. RNAcentral describes it as "partial 16S ribosomal RNA". It matches the Rfam family "Bacterial small subunit ribosomal RNA", at positions 524 to 776 of the family's 1533-position model. The record is from RNAcentral.
UACGGAGGAUGCGAGCGUUAUCCGGAUUUAUUGGGUUUAAAGGGCGCGUAGGCGGUCCGUUAAGUCAGCGGUAAAAUUGCGGGGCUCAACCCCGUCGAGCCGUUGAAACUGGCAGACUUGAGUUGGCGAGAAGUACGCGGAAUGCGCGGUGUAGCGGUGAAAUGCAUAGAUAUCGCGCAGAACUCCGAUUGCGAAGGCAGCGUACCGGCGCCAGACUGACGCUGAGGCACGAAAGCGUGGGGAUCGAACAGG